Molecule: non-coding RNA, 179 nt
Filed under: Verrucomicrobiota bacterium
Lineage: Bacteria; Pseudomonadati; Verrucomicrobiota
Also listed under: 1 other name
Description: Verrucomicrobia bacterium (hydrothermal vent metagenome) 6S RNA
Rfam family: 6S / SsrS RNA
About the family: E. coli 6S RNA was the first non coding RNA to be sequenced, but its function was unknown until recently.
Source: RNAcentral
UCUGCCCUGCCAUGUUCGUGAUGCAAACAAAAUCUCUGAACCGAUGUUUAUAAAUAUGUGAGCCCCAAUUUCGUGUGAUGAACGUCAGGCCUUCACUGGAAGCCGGAAUUCACCGAGACGGUUCCUUUAAUGGAAUAGGGUCCAAGAAUAUGUUUCACACGGCAUUUGGCGGGGUAUUU